GCCUACGGGAGGCAGCAGUGAGGAAUAUUGGUCAAUGGGCGGGAGCCUGAACCAGCCAAGUCGCGUGAGGGAAGACGGCCCUACGGGUUGUAAACCUCUUUUGUCGGGGAGCAAAGCGAGUCACGUGUGACUCAUUGAGAGUACCCGAAGAAAAAGCAUCGGCUAACUCCGUGCCAGCAGCCGCGGUAAUACGGAGGAUGCGAGCGUUAUCCGGAUUUAUUGGGUUUAAAGGGUGCGCAGGCGGAGGUGCAAGUCAGCGGUCAAAUUGCGGGGCUCAACCCCGUACCGCCGUUGAAACUGCAUCC
RNAcentral lists this ribosomal RNA (305 nucleotides) under uncultured bacterium. RNAcentral's name for it is "bacterial SSU rRNA". It matches the Rfam family "Bacterial small subunit ribosomal RNA", at positions 337 to 640 of the family's 1533-position model. The record is from RNAcentral.